This 465-nucleotide ribosomal RNA is filed under the name uncultured bacterium. RNAcentral's name for it is "partial 16S ribosomal RNA". It matches the Rfam family "Bacterial small subunit ribosomal RNA", at positions 28 to 507 of the family's 1533-position model. The record is from RNAcentral.
GACGAACGCUGGCGGCGUGCUUAACACAUGCAAGUCGAACGGAAAGGCCCUGCUUGCAGGGUACUCGAGUGGCGAACGGGUGAGUAACACGUGGGUGAUCUGCCCUGCACUUCGGGAUAAGCCUGGGAAACUGGGUCUAAUACCGGAUAGGAGCCAUUUUUAGUGUGAUGGUUGGAAAGUUUUGUCGGUGUAGGAUGAGCUCGCGGCCUAUCAGCUUGUUGGUGGGGUAAUGGCCUACCAAGGCGGCGACGGGUAGCCGGCCUGAGAGGGUGGACGGCCACAUUGGGUCUGAGAUACGGCCCAGACUCCUACGGGAGGCAGAAGUGGGGAAUAUUGCACAAUGGGCGCCAGCCUGAUGCAGCGACGCCGCGUGGGGGAUGACGGCCUUCGGGUUGUAAACUCCUUUCGCUAGGGACGAAGCUUUUUGUGACGGUACCUAGAUAAGAAGCACCGGCUAACUACGUG